UACGUAGGCAGCGAGCGUUGUUCGGAGUUACUGGGCGUAAAGGGUGUGUAGGCGGUUUUCUAAGUUUGGUGUGAAAUCUCCCGGCUCAACCGGGAGGGUGCGCCGAAAACUGGGAGACUAGAGUGCGGGAUGGGAGAGUAGAAUUCCUGGUGUAGCGGUGAAAUGCGUAGAUAUCGGAAGGAACGCCCGUGGCGAAAGCGAGGUCCUGGACGUCUACUGACGCUGAGACGCGAAAGCUAGGGGAGCAAACGGG
RNAcentral lists this ribosomal RNA (253 nucleotides) under uncultured bacterium. RNAcentral's name for it is "partial 16S ribosomal RNA". It matches the Rfam family "Bacterial small subunit ribosomal RNA", at positions 524 to 776 of the family's 1533-position model. The record is from RNAcentral.